GACGAACGCUGGCGGCGUGCUUAACACAUGCAAGUCGAACGGAAAGGCCCUGCUUUUGUUGGGUGCUCGAGUGGCGAACGGGUGAGUAACACGUGAGUAACCUGCCCUUGACUUUGGGAUAACUUCAGGAAACUGGGGCUAAUACCGGACAUGAUCCUCUGCUACAUGGUGGGGGUUGGAAAGUUUCGGCGGUUGGGGAUGGACUCGCGGCUUAUCAGCUUGUUGGUGGGUUAGUGGCUUACCAAGGCUUUGACGGGUAGCCGGCCUGAGAGGGUGACCGGCCACAUAGGGACUGAGGUGCGGCCAAGACUGCUACGGGAGGCAGCAGUGGGGAAUAUUGCACAAAGGGCGGAAGCCUGAAGCAGCAACGCCGCGUGGGGGAUGACGGCCGUCGGGUUGGAACCCGCUUCCGCCUGUGACGAAGCGUGAGUGACGGUAAUGGGAAAAGAAGCACCGGCUAACUACGUG
RNAcentral lists this ribosomal RNA (468 nucleotides) under uncultured bacterium. RNAcentral describes it as "partial 16S ribosomal RNA". It matches the Rfam family "Bacterial small subunit ribosomal RNA", at positions 28 to 507 of the family's 1533-position model. The record is from RNAcentral.